GGCGUCGGGGGAUUAUGCGAUUGUUAUCAGUCAUAAUCCAGAUAACGGCACAUCCAGGAUCAAGCUUCCAUCUGGUGCGAAGAAGAUUGUACCAAGUGGAUGCAGGGCGAUGAUUGGACAGGUUGCUGGUGGCGGCAGGACUGAGAAGCCUCUUCUGAAGGCUGGAAAUGCCUAUCACAAGUACCGUGUGAAGAGGAACUGC
This 202-nucleotide unclassified non-coding RNA is filed under the name Hevea brasiliensis (rubber tree). Lineage: Eukaryota; Viridiplantae; Streptophyta; Magnoliopsida; Malpighiales; Euphorbiaceae. The record is from RNAcentral.